UCGAGCGAUGAAACCCUUCGGGGUGGAUUAGCGGCGGACGGGUGAGUAACACGUGGGUAACCUGCCUCAAAGAGGGGGAUAGCCUCCCGAAAGGGAGAUUAAUACCGCAUAACAUUAGUUCUUCGCAUGAAGAACUAAUUAAAGGAGUAAUCCGCUUUGAGAUGGACCCGCGGCGCAUUAGCUAGUUGGUGAGGUAACGGCUCACCAAGGCCACGAUGCGUAGCCGACCUGAGAGGGUGAUCGGCCACAUUGGAACUGAGACACGGUCCAGACUCCUACGGGAGGCAGCAGUGGGGAAUAUUGCACAAUGGGCGAAAGCCUGAUGCAGCAACGCCGCGUGAGUGAUGAAGGCCUUCGGGUUGUAAAGCUCUGUCUUUGGGGACGAUAAUGACGGUACCCAAGGAGGAAGCCACGGCUAACUACGUGCCAGCAGCCGCGGUAAUACGUAGGUGGCAAGCGUUGUCCGGAUUUACUGGGCGUAAAGGAUGCGUAGGCGGAUAUUUAAGUGAGAUGUGAAAUUCCCGGGCUUAACUUGGGAGCUGCAUUUCAAACUGGAUAUCUAGAGUGUGGGAGAGGAGAAUGGAAUUCCUAGUGUAGCGGUGAAAUGCGUAGAGAUUAGGAAGAACACCAGUGGCGAAGGCGAUUCUCUGGACCAUAACUGACGCUGAGGCAUGAAAGCGUGGGUAGCAAACAGGAUUAGAUACCCUGGUAGUCCACGCCGUAAACGAUGAGUACUAGGUGUAGGGGGGUCCAA
This 754-nucleotide ribosomal RNA is filed under the name uncultured bacterium. Its description in RNAcentral is "bacterial SSU rRNA". It matches the Rfam family "Bacterial small subunit ribosomal RNA", at positions 62 to 835 of the family's 1533-position model. The record is from RNAcentral.